CGUGCGGUUCUAUUCUGUUGGUUUCUAGGACCGCCGUAAUGAUUAAUAGGGAUAGUCGGGGGCGUCAGUAUUCAGCUGUCAGAGGUGAAAUUCUUGGAUUUGCUGAAGACUAACUACUGCGAAAGCAUUCGCCAAGGAUAUUUUCAUUAAUCAGGGAACGAAAGUUAGGGGACCGAAGACGAUCAGAUACCGUCGUAGUCUUAACCAUAAACUAUGCCGACUAGGGAUCGGGCGGCGUUUCUAUGAUGACCCGCUCGGCACCUUACGAGAAAUCAAAGUUUUUGGGUUCUGGGGGGAGUAUGGUCGCAAGGCUGAAACUUAAAGAGAUUGACGGAAGGGCACCACAAGGCGUGGAGCCUGCGGCUUAAUUUGACUCAACACGGGGAAACUCACCAGGUCCAGACAAAAUAAGGAUUGACAGAUUGAGAGCUCUUUCUUGAUCUUUUGGAUGGUGGUGCAUGGCCGUUCUUAGUUGGUGAAGUGAUUUGUCUGCUUAAUUGCGAUAACGAACGAGACCUCGGCCCCUAAACAGCCCGGUCCGCGUCCGCGGGCCGCUGGCUUCUUAGGGGGACU
This 573-nucleotide ribosomal RNA is filed under the name uncultured fungus. RNAcentral describes it as "SSU rRNA". It matches the Rfam family "Eukaryotic small subunit ribosomal RNA", at positions 827 to 1421 of the family's 1831-position model. Lineage: Eukaryota; Fungi. The record is from RNAcentral.